This 253-nucleotide ribosomal RNA is filed under the name uncultured bacterium. RNAcentral's name for it is "partial 16S ribosomal RNA". It matches the Rfam family "Bacterial small subunit ribosomal RNA", at positions 524 to 776 of the family's 1533-position model. The record is from RNAcentral.
UACGGAGGGUGCAAGCGUUGUCCGGAUUUAUUGGGUUUAAAGGGUGCGUAGGUGGCUUUAUAAGUCAGUGGUGAAACCCCUGGGCUUAACCCAGGGAGUGCCAAUGAUACUGCAAGGCUUGGGUUACCUCUAGGCGGGUGGAAUGGAUGGUGUAGCGGUGAAAUGCAUAGAUAUCAACCAGAACGCCGACAGCGAAGGCAGCUCGCUGGGGGUAUACCGACACUGAGGCACGAUAGCGUGGGGAUCAAACAGG